This 6676-nucleotide long non-coding RNA is filed under the name Salvia miltiorrhiza (redroot sage). RNAcentral's name for it is "long non-coding RNA (SMIL_LNC007633)". The record is from RNAcentral. Lineage: Eukaryota; Viridiplantae; Streptophyta; Magnoliopsida; Lamiales; Lamiaceae.
UUCAAAAACCUGGCAAAGAAGAUGAACAUGUGGUUCCGGCAGCUUAUUGAAACUUACCACCACACAUAAAUCCAAUGCCCUUAUUUGUUCAUGUGUGUCAUUACUGUCAAAGACGUGGCCAUAUCAGACAAGAUGCAGAUUCCUUAUUGUUGAUCGAAAGGCAAAUUUCAAAAGUUCAAGGAGAUCAAACUUUAAAAAUCACAGAAGUUGUGUUGUCAUACUUCACUUUGGUCAGGUUCUCAAGAAAAGUGGUAUCUUGAUACGGAUGUUCUAAACACUUGACAUGAAACCGAAAAUUCUGACAGACAUUCAUUCGAUAAUUGAUGAGGGUGUGACUUUCAGUGAUGGUGUUCAACCAAAGGUUAUUGGUACUGGAACUCUACAUGUACCUGGUCUUGCACGGUUGGAAAAUGUUAUGCUGGUAGAAGGAUUGAAGGCUAAUCUCAUUAGUAUCAGCAAACUUUGUGAAAAUAAUAUGAAUGUCUCGUUUGACAAGACUCAGUGUAUUGUUACGAAUGGAGAUACUGAGUUCAUUACUGGUAAACAUUCAAGCAACAAUUGUUAUGUGGUGAUUCCAGAUGUCACCUGUUUUCAAGCACACAACACUCAGAUUAUAACAUGGCAUCAGCGUCUUGGCCCUACCAGUUAUAGCAACAUGAAGAAACUCUUACAGACUCAAGUUGUUCGUGGUCUGCCAAGUUUGAAAAUUAACUCCAAGGAUGUUUGUAGCCCAUGUCAAAUUGGUAAACAGACUCACUCCAGUCACAAAAAGGUUACCAAGAUAACUACCUCUCGGGUUCUAGAACUGAUUCAUAUGGAUUUGAUAGGUCCGAUGCAAGUUGAGAGCCUGGGCAGAAAACGUUAUGUUUUUGUUUGCGUUGACGACUUCUCUCGCUUUACAUGGGUGGAGUUCUUGCAAGAUAAGUCUGAAACCUUUGAUAAAUUUCGUACUUUAUGUCAUACACUUGAGAUUGAUAAAGAGUUGCCCAUCAAACGAAUUCGUAGUGAUCAUGGCAGAGAAUUUGAGAAUUUCGAAUUUGAUACCUUUUGUGCUAACAAAGGAAUUAUCCAUGAGUACUAUGCUCCUAAAACAUUACAAUAGAACGGAGUCGUUGAGAUGAAAAAUUGUACUUUACAAGAUAUGGUGAGAACGAUGAUGAAAGCCAAAGCGGUGACAACUAAUCUUUGGGCUGAAGCCACGAAUACGACAUGUUAUAUCAUAAAUAGAGUUUAUCUCAAGCCCAAACCGAUACUACUCCCUAUGAAAUCUUGAAAUGAAUGAAUCCCAACAUCAAGCACGUCCAUACCUUCAGAUGCACAUGUUAUAUACUUAAUGAUCGGGAGCAGAAACAAAAGUUGGAUGACGAAGCUCUGAAGCUAUCUUUCUUGGAUAUACCAAGUUAGGUCAUAGUUUUCGUGUUCUGAACAAAGUCACUCAUACUAUUCAAGAAUCAACAAACAGUGUUGCCAAAGCCAUCGUCAAGACCUCGGACAAAAUAAAUUUGUAUUUUCCUAUGCCAACAGCUAAGUUCCGCUAGCAGUAAGUAUAGGGUCGAUCUCACGAGGAGUUGGUGUAUUCUUCUCUCUUGUCACAAAUGUCACUAUCGAUCACUUGGGUUGGGCUCUGGUCAGAGCGUUGAGCAGCUUUGGUCAGAGCCCUGAGAACAAAGAACCUGAAAUAAAACAAAAGAAAAAGCAAAAAUAAAAGCAACUUGGUUCUUGCAUAGUCUCGUCAAGUCUGGGCACAGUCAUCGCUCACAGGUUCAAGGAUAUUCGCUAUGCCCAUGUAUCAUUGGUUAUAGGCCGUUUGAUCAGUGAGAUGUGCCCCCAUUGUCACGGUGUCACGUGCACAAGCUCACCAGUCCUCAUCCACGCCCUUCAUAUUAGGUGGAGGUGUACUCCCCUCCUCCCUCUACCCUGGUAGAUUCCCUUUAUGAAGUUGUAGUUGUGUGGGUAUGCCCAGAACACAUUAUGGCUUAGCGGACCCAAAUGGUCAUAGGCAUGCCAAAGGCAUACUACCACCGCUUGCAUCAACCACACGAAGAUUGAGUCAUAGAAGAUUAUUUGGCGUUUUACUAGUUUUGAGAUUUUGGAAAAUUAUAGAGGCAUAGAAGAUUGAGUCUUAUGUAAGUCCUGAUGUAAUUUAAUCUCUCAUAGUGAUUCAUUUUUCCUAGACAAGGCCCCCCAGACGUAGGUGUUCUAUCACCGAACUGGGUUACCACUUUGUGUGUUUGUUCAUGUUACUGGUUUUUUGUUACUUGUCGUGUUACAGUAUCUCGCUAAGUACAAACUCUGGUAUUUUGCGAGAUUUUUAUGUGUAAUUAGAUAUGUAGGUUUUUCCUGGGAUAUUCGUGACAACAUGCGAACCAUUAAAAUUAUUGCAUCUGCUACACAAAUUAAUGCAUCCGCUAUUAAAUUUACUGCAUUCAAAAAAAUAAAAUAUUUACUCCAUUCAGGAUACGAACCCAGGUUCUGCAUUCAUCAACGAAGAUGAUGCAUCGACCGUAGAUCUUAAUGAUCAAAUGACUUAAGAUGGUUCUCCAUUCUUAUUUUAUUUAUUGGUUCUUAUUUGAACAUCUCCCUAUAUAUAUAUAUUUUAUAUAUAUAGGGAUCAUGAAGAUCUACGGUUGAUUUGUAACCCUGUUGGAUGAAUUCGUGGUCCUGAGUUCGAAUCCUAAAUGUAGCAUAAAUUUUUUUUUCACAAUUCGUAACAUUGUUAGAUGAAUUCAUACGUGCUCUACAUAAAAUUCGUACAUUGAAAAAUAUUUUUAUUUUAAGAAUUGUUUUCACGAUAGCCCUUCCCUGUAUAUAUAUAUAUACACCUAUAUAGGAAAUGGUUCCAAUGAGAUCCCUCAUAUAUGGUGAUAUGUUAGAUUGAUUUGUGAGUGUUGAUUUAAUGUAUCUUAUGGUUGAUAUUUACCCGGAGGAGAUUUUUUUUUACUUGAGUUCGAAUCUUAGAAGGAGCGAAAACUUUAUUCAUUUAUUGAAUAUUGUUAUUCAAUACUAUAUAUUGUGAUCUUAUUCAUCAUUAUAAACUAGCUUAUUCAAUAGUCUCACAUUUCACGAAAAAUAAAUAACAAUCUCACUGAAACCUAACUAUAUAUAUAUAUAUAUAUAUAUANUAAAAUCCAUUUGAGCUGCUUCUAACAUAAAUUAAAUAAAUCGCAUAUGCUACACUUUAACAAUCAAUUAAAAGAUCUAUAAUUAACACUUCAAUGUUAAAUAAUCAAUAAUAAAUUAAUGGAUUCAAAAUAUAUUUUGAGUGCAUCGUCCACUGAAAAUAAAAAUAAAAAUAAAUCAUCACGUAUAUAAAUCAUCAAAUUCAUAUAAGUUCGUAUUUUAUUAAUGGAUGCUGAACCCUAAUUACCAUAAUCAAUCCUUAAAUCAGUAAUUAAAAGUAUAUAAUCCUUAAUAAAAAGUCGGGUCAUUACAUGCAUCCACCGUAGAUCUUGAUGAUCGAAUGGCUUAAAAUGGUUCUCCGUUCUAAUUUUAUUUAGUGGUUCUUAUUUGAACCUCUCCCUAUAUAUAUAUAUAAAAUAGAGGGAAUUAGAAUUAAAUAAAGAUCUUAUUUAACAUAAAAACUACAAAUGAUCACUUGCAAUUAAUUAAUUAAUUAAUAAACUCUGAGUAGGUCUUGGGUGAGACCAGCCUCUAACAAUAGACGAGUUUGACAUGACCCUCCACGUGGCAGGAGAUGAGUGGUCGAGGGCGGGGACACGAAGAUGAGGGGGCGUGAGCUUGGAUCUGAGGGAGCGCCGACGGGUGGCUGAAAGAGCAGCAGCAAGGGCACGGUAUAGGUGGCACUCCGGCUGGAAAGAUAGGCGGCAUAUGCGCGGGGCAGGAGUCUGCCGACUGGAAGGAGAGGUGCACGGGUACGGGGCUUGGGAUACGCCAAUGGGAAGGUAAGGCGGCACAGUCAUGGCGAUGGGUGCGAUGUUGGUGUGAAUGCCGGAGGCAAAGAAUUUGUACUUAUUUGGUCAUGGUAACUAUUGUCGUAAUAAAAAGUAAUUAUUAAUAAAGAAAUGUAAUGUUUCAAAAUAUGAAUACUUUUGAGUAACUAUUUUUGUGAUGAAAAGUAAUAAUAGACAUGAGGAAAGGUAAAUGUUACUUAUUUUAGAACAAUUGUUACUCUUAUUCACGAUAAAUUGUACUUUUAAGGUCUGUUUGAUAUGUGUUUAUAGGUAGGAUAAAUUAAAUUAAUACAUAUUAGUGUGAUGUUUGAUAUCAUGUGCAGUUAAUAUGGUCAACUCCUACUUAAUCCCACUUCUCCAUGCUAUUUUGUGGGAAUAACCCAUACUAAUAAUCCACCCCUCCCCCCUUGGAUAACUUUAAUACUGCGAAGUUGGAUAAAAAUUCUGCUACCCUUCCUCACGCAUAUCGAUGCAAAUGCCCAAGUAAUGGUGGACACACAUGGUAUUUUUAAAAUUAUAUGAGCAUAGUUUUGGUAUUAGAUAAUAUAAUCCAACAUAAUCCUAUGGAUAUCAAACAUAAUAUAGGAUUAAGUAGCCAUGAUAUCAAACACCCAUAAAAUAGUAUAAAUCCACACUAAUCCACACUAAUUUUUCAAGAUAAUUUUAAUCCUAAUCAAUCCUAAACUGCAAAUCAAGCGGACCAUUACUGAGUACCCGACCCGCACUCUGCCCUUAUCCGACUCACGCCCUGCCCCUACCCGACAUGUGCCCCGCCCUUACUCAAAUCCAUUUUAUAUAUGAGAUCGGGUAUACAAGAGUUUUUGCGAUAAACUAUAUAUGUAGCAACCCGCUCUUUUAUCCAAUAAUGCGUGGUUAUUAAUCUCUGUUUAGUGAAUGAAAUACUUUUCAUUGCUAUAUGAAUUCAGUUAUGACUCUGAAUGAUUUUUUUAUUGAAGGCAAGGUUUAUCUGAGCUUAUGCAUUUUUUUUAAUUUCGCGUGUUUUCAGACCGCGACGUGAAACUUCUAGUCGAUGAAUAUUAAUUAUUCAAAGAUAUAACUGACUUAGCGAAGCCAUGUUAUUUAUGUGAUCGAGAUGGAUUUCUAAUCCUAAUUUUUAGUCAUAAUUACGGAAGUCGUGUAUUAUUUUUUUGUUCCGACUUAUUAAGUAAAUUAAAUCUAUGGAUUUAAUUUAAUUAUUAGAACGACCACUUUCGACUACGAAGGAACGAUGUUAGCAAGACACGAAACCAGUAUUUCAAAUACAGGACGACCAACACUGAAAGAUUUUAUUUAGUCACACAACAAUCAUUCCAAUAGUAAAACUUCCUACCUCUAACUUGUCUGGCAACACCCAAAGAUUUAGGAAAAGAAAGGAAGAGGGAUAAAAAGAAAAAGGAGGAGAAACGUGUAGCAGCCCUCUCCCCUAUUUCCCCCUCUCUGCGGCUGGAGCAGGCCAACUCCCUCUUCCUUUGCAAGUCACCGUCCCAUCCCCACUUUCUGUAGCAGCAGUAAGCCAUACCCAAGUACACCUAACAAGUCAAUCAGCCACCCUAGACUGUACCUCUUCGCAUGUACACAAGCUUCCAGCCAAACCCUUUUUGUUAUUCAAACCCUUCAUUCUUCAUUUGAGGACUUCACGAAUGGAAGGGAGCCUUUAAUUCGUUUCUGCCAAGUAUUCUCAAGGUAAGCUUGGCUUCAAUGCUCUGCAUCCUUCCAUGAUUCCACCUGCAUUAAUGCAAGAACAAUUUUAUUAUUUCAGCUCCACCUGCUGCUUCGUUUAAUUCAACUGCAACCUCCAACCAAAGCAAACUCUCAAGGUAACCAUCAAAUCCUAGUUCACUAUCUCCUUGUACAUGCUUCACACAUCAUCAAACCAUGAUCUUUAAACGCUACUAGUGGAAGAUGAGCAUGAUUAAUUAGUUACAUGGCACUCUGUAGCAUCAUUAGACUUCACAAGCGAGUAGAGAAAGGAACACCUGAACUCAUAGAACAAAUACAACCAUAGCAUACUCAUACACAUAAAGUAUUAAGUUCUAUUUUUCUUACGCAAAAAGGGUCCAUAGGCAUUUAUACCAUAUCGUUGUAUAAGAAUCAAGGCAGAAGUAUAACUUAGCUUUUAGGAAGGCGUCGAAAUCGGCCCAGUUCAGUCGAGCCAAGACGACAACGACGACGGUAGCUCUUGCUGCCUCGGUGAUAUUCCAAAACGCCAAUAGUGGCAUCGCGUAUGGAGCAGCAGGCGUUCGCCGGUCUCUCGAUGGCAGCGGCGCGACAACGGAGAUCCCCUCGGCAUUGAAACUCGGAGAAACACUGGAAAUGGCGGACUCCCCUACUCGCCAUUAACUGAACAACAGCCACGGAGGAGUGCUCGCCGACUGAUAGAAGGACGGCGGACAGUGAGAGGCGGCCACAUUCACUGGCGGUGACCGUUCGCCGGUCACCCAUUUGAAACCACGGCGGCGACGAUUUCAACUUUGGGAGGAGCUAGGGCUCAUCAUGAUUCGCCUUUUUCAGUUAUUGAUUGAAGGAGUGCAGCGCCGAGAGUUAAAGGAGGAGAUGUCGUUCGCCGGAACGACAGAAGCGACGGCAGCAGAUCUUCGACGGCUAGGGCUCGGCUUGGCGAUUCACGAGUGGAGAACUCGAGAAGGAAAUAAAAGAGGAUGUGGUGUCGACAAUAAACGAGCGCCGGCCUCGGCACAGAAACGGACAAGGCGCUCGCCGAAGGAGGAGCGGCACCGACGAGAUUUGGGAAGAGAGGCGACUGAUUU